RNAcentral lists this ribosomal RNA (118 nucleotides) under Pteropus alecto (black flying fox). The record is from RNAcentral. Lineage: Eukaryota; Metazoa; Chordata; Mammalia; Chiroptera; Pteropodidae.
GUCUACGGCCAUGCUACUCUGAACAAGCCCGGUCCCAUCUGAUCUCAAAAGCUAAGCAGGGUCGGGCCUGGUUAGUACUUGGCUGGAGACCACCUAGGAAGACCAGGUGCUGUAGGCG